UCCCUGCAGCUUAUACCACUUUGACAAAACAUCUGUUGGCCUGGAAUAAAAUCCCUCCCCUAUUCUUAAGCAGAUACAUUUCCCCCUGAAAUAGCAAUAGGGGCUGCUGCAUCUGCUCACACCAUGGCCCGGCUUCAGCCCCAGGAGGAUGAGGCCUUAGCUAAAUCAGACUGAGCUGCCUGCUUUGCCUUACACUCUCUUGUGAAUAACUUUUCUUAUUGCACCUCUUUACGCAAGCGCCAAACCCCAAGCAGGCAAGAAAGCCGUCCAAAAUGCAAAAGAAUUAUGACAGAGGCUCAAACAUCACGGGGUUUUGGAAAGUUUGUUCUUUUAGUAAAAAACUAAAUGUGCAAAUCAAACUCUCUGGCAGCAUUUGUGUGAUAAUAAUCAUGCUGAUUAAGUGUUCGAGCCUCAGGAUAUGCUGGGAACGGCACUAGGACCUAGAAAAUAACCACCCCAUGCUUUUGGAAGACAGCUGCAGGCUCUUCCUGUUCUGCUCUGAGGUGCUGGGGCAGGAACAACUUCUGCAAGAAAUCAGAUUUGAGAACCUGGUACCCUCUUCCCAUCCUUGGAGCUUUCAUCUCCUUGACAGCAAGUUCAUCCUGAAGAAUCAAACACCAAUUUAAAAGAAAAAGAAGAAACCAAGAACUGGAACAAGGGAAACUUUCCAGCCAAAGAACCCUUUAAUAGCAAUCUAUUAGACAAAUCCCAGGCCUAGGGGGUUGUUACAGAGGUUUUGGAUUCCUGCCAGAAUUUUUUUAUUUUUUUUUUGUGUCUCCAAAUGUGUAUUGUCUGAAUGCAGCUGAAAAGGGGAAUCAUUCAGUGUAAUCAGAAGUUUUUCCAGUCUCAUGGAAGUCCCUGUUUCUGAUGGGAUGUGUGAUCCUUAAUAGCCAAGGGAGCUGACUGUUAAAUAUCAUUUGUUAUUAAUUUGUAUGGUAAAGAGUCUGAAACCUUUGAAAUGCAGAUUGUCAGCUCUGUAGUUAGACCUGAACUGAAAUGAUAAAUUCCAGAAGUCA
Molecule: long non-coding RNA, 1016 nt
Organism: Pezoporus occidentalis (night parrot)
Lineage: Eukaryota; Metazoa; Chordata; Aves; Psittaciformes; Psittacidae
Exons: 2
Source: RefSeq, a predicted model, not a curated record